Long non-coding RNA from Nerophis ophidion (straightnose pipefish), 470 nucleotides. RefSeq lists it as uncharacterized. NCBI's taxonomy places the organism in Eukaryota, Metazoa, Chordata, Actinopteri, Syngnathiformes, Syngnathidae. The transcript is spliced from 3 exons. The record is from RefSeq and is a predicted model, not a curated record.
UUCACACCCAUAUUGUCCAAUCCCUCUCACCCCACGCAUGAUACUGUAGAGCAGAGGUGUCAAAAGUAACAGGCCCGUGAACAGGUUUUAUCCAGCCAGCAAGAUGAUUUUGGUCCGCAUGGAGCUGGAGAGGGCGUGGCCUCCAACUCCGGCUGAAUUUCGGGAGAAAAUUUCUUCCGGGAGGUUUUCGGGAGAGGUGCUGAAUUUCGGGAGUCUCCCAGAAAAUCCGGGAGGGUUGGCAAGUAUUCAUGAGAUGACCUUCUAAUUGCCUCACACAACACCCUGGCCUCUGUCAAACCAGCUGGGAGACACAUCUGUCAGCAUGCUAGACAGUGAUGUUACUGUGUGUGUGUGUGUGUGCGUGCAUGCGUGCGUGUGUGUGUGCGUGUGAGCAUGCGUGCGCAUGCAUGUGUGUGAUGCUGCAAGUCGUGCAGAUGCUUUAUUAAUUUUAUUAAACAUUGUAGAGUGAA